UUAAAUUGAGAGUUUGAUCCUGGCUCAGGAUGAACGCUGGCGGCGUGCCUAAUACAUGCAAGUCGAACGAAACUUCUUUAUCACCGAGUGCUUGCACUCACCGAUAAAGAGUUGAGUGGCGAACGGGUGAGUAACACGUGGGCAACCUGCCCAAAAGAGGGGGAUAACACUUGGAAACAGGUGCUAAUACCGCAUAA
RNAcentral lists this ribosomal RNA (197 nucleotides) under Ligilactobacillus murinus. Its description in RNAcentral is "Lactobacillus murinus partial 16S ribosomal RNA". It matches the Rfam family "Bacterial small subunit ribosomal RNA", at positions 1 to 176 of the family's 1533-position model. Lineage: Bacteria; Bacillati; Bacillota; Bacilli; Lactobacillales; Lactobacillaceae. The record is from RNAcentral.